GACGAACGCUGGCGGCGUGCUUAACACAUGCGAGUCGAACGCUGAAGCACCAGCUUGCUGGUGUGGAUGAGUGGCGAACGGGUGAGUAAUACGUGAGUAACCUGCCCUUGACUCUGGGAUAAGCCCGGGAAACUGGGUCUAAUACUGGAUGCUACAUGUCACCGCAUGGUGGUGUGUGGAAAGGGUUUACUGGUCUUGGAUGGGCUCACGGCCUAUCAGCUUGUUGGUGAGGUAAUGGCUCACCAAGGCGACGACGGGUAGCCGGCCUGAGAGGGUGACCGGCCACACUGGGACUGAGACACGGCCCAGACUCCUACGGGAGGCAGCAGUGGGGAAUAGUGCACAAUGGGCGAAAGCCUGAUGCAGCGACGCCGCGUGAGGGAUGACGGCCUUCGGGUUGUAAACCUCUUUCAGCAGGGAAGAAGCCACAAGUGACGGUACCUGCAGAAGAAGCGCCGGCUAACUACGUG
Molecule: ribosomal RNA, 470 nt
Filed under: uncultured bacterium
Lineage: Bacteria
Description: partial 16S ribosomal RNA
Rfam family: Bacterial small subunit ribosomal RNA
Source: RNAcentral